AACAUUGAGCCUUGAUGUGUAGGAUAGGUGGGAGGCUUUGAAGUGUGGACGCCAGUCUGCAUGGAGCCGACCUUGAAAUACCACCCUUUAAUGUUUGAUGUUCUAACGUGGACCCGUUACCCGGGUUGCGGACAGUGUCUGGUGGGUAGUUUGACUGGGGCGGUCUCCUCCUAAAGAGUAACGGAGGAGCACGAAGGUUGGCUAAUCCUGGUCGGACAUCAGGAGGUUAGUGCAAUGGCAUAAGCCAGCUUGACUGCGAGCGUGACGGCGCGAGCAGGUGCGAAAGCAGGUCAUAGUGAUCCGGUGGUUCUGAAUGGAAGGGCCAUCGCUCAACGGAUAAAAGGUACUCCGGGGAUAACAGGCUGAUACCGCCCAAGAGUUCAUAUCGACGGCGGUGUUUGGCACCUCGAUGUCGGCUCAUCACAUCCUGGGGCUGAAGUAGGUCCCAAGGGUAUGGCUGUUCGCCAUUUAAAGUGGUACGCGAGCUGGGUUUAGAACGUCGUGAGACAGUUCGGUCCCUAUCUGCCGUGGGCGCUGGAGAACUGAGGGGGGCUGCUCCUAGUACGAGAGGACCGGAGUGGACGCAUCACUGGUGUUCGGGUUGUCAUGCCAAUGGCACUGCCCGGUAGCUAAAUGCGGAAGAGAUAAGUGCUGAAAGCAUCUAAGCACGAAACUUGCCCCGAG
Molecule: ribosomal RNA, 684 nt
Filed under: Salmonella enterica
Lineage: Bacteria; Pseudomonadati; Pseudomonadota; Gammaproteobacteria; Enterobacterales; Enterobacteriaceae
Also listed under: 1 other name
Description: partial 23S ribosomal RNA
Rfam family: Bacterial large subunit ribosomal RNA
Source: RNAcentral